This 305-nucleotide ribosomal RNA is filed under the name uncultured bacterium. RNAcentral describes it as "bacterial SSU rRNA". It matches the Rfam family "Bacterial small subunit ribosomal RNA", at positions 337 to 657 of the family's 1533-position model. The record is from RNAcentral.
GCCUACGGGGGGCAGCAGUGGGGGAUAUUGCACAAUGGGGGAAACCCUGAUGCAGCGACGCCGCGUGGGCGAAGAAGUAUUUCGGUAUGUAAAGCCCUAUCAGCAGGGAAGAAGAAAUGACGGUACCUGAGUAAGAAGCACCGGCUAAAUACGUGCCAGCAGCCGCGGUAAUACGUAUGGUGCAAGCGUUAUCCGGAUUUACUGGGUGUAAAGGGAGCGCAGGCGGCACGGCAAGCCUGAUGUGAAAGCCCGCGGCCCAACCGCGGGACUGCAUUGGGAACUAGCGGGCUGGAGUGCCGGAGAGG